GGUCGGUUUGGCCGGAUUUCACACAGGUGUUGCAUGGCUGUCGUCAGCUCGUGUCGUGAGGUGUUGGGUUAAGUCCCGCAACGAGCGCAACCCUCAUCCUUAGUUACCAUCAGGUUAUGCUGGGGACUUUAAGGAAACUGCCAGUGAUAAACUGGAGGAAGGUGGGGAUGAUGUCAAGUCAUCAUGGCCCUUAUGGAGUGGACUACACACGUGCUACAAUGGUGAUUACAAUGGGCUGCAAGGUCGCAAGGCUGAGCUAAUCCUAAAAAAUCAUCUCAGUUCGGAUUGUUCUCUGCAACUCGAGAGCAUGAAGUUGGAAUCGCUAGUAAUCGUGGAUCAGCAUGCUACGGUGAAUACGUUCUCGGGUCUUGUACACACUGCCCGUCACGCCAUGGUAAUUGGUUUCACUCGAAGCU
Molecule: ribosomal RNA, 416 nt
Filed under: Wolbachia endosymbiont of Myzus persicae
Lineage: Bacteria; Pseudomonadati; Pseudomonadota; Alphaproteobacteria; Rickettsiales; Anaplasmataceae
Description: bacterial SSU rRNA
Rfam family: Bacterial small subunit ribosomal RNA
Source: RNAcentral